This 434-nucleotide ribosomal RNA is filed under the name uncultured Oscillospiraceae bacterium. RNAcentral's name for it is "bacterial SSU rRNA". It matches the Rfam family "Bacterial small subunit ribosomal RNA", at positions 341 to 792 of the family's 1533-position model. Lineage: Bacteria; Bacillati; Bacillota; Clostridia; Eubacteriales; Oscillospiraceae. The record is from RNAcentral.
ACGGGAGGCAGCAGUGGGGAAUAUUGGACAAUGGGGGAAACCCUGAUCCAGCGACGCCGCGUGAGUGAAGAAGUAUUUCGGUAUGUAAAGCUCUAUCAGCAGGGAAGAUAAUGACGGUACCUGACUAAGAAGCCCCGGCUAACUACGUGCCAGCAGCCGCGGUAAUACAUAGGGGGCAAGCGUUAUCCGGAUUUAUUGGGUGUAAAGGGUGCGUAGACGGAGAAGCAAGUUGGUUGUGAAAUCCCUCGGCUCAACUGAGGAACUGCAACCAAAACUACUUCCCUUGAGUGUCGGAGGGGAAAGUGGAAUUCCUAGUGUAGCGGUGAAAUGCGUAGAUAUUAGGAGGAACACCGGUGGCGAAGGCGACUUUCUGGACGAUAACUGACGUUGAGGCACGAAAGUGUGGGGAGCAAACAGGAUUAGAUACCCUGGUA